UGGUUCGAUCAUGGCUCAGAGUGAACGCUGGCGGCGUGCCUAAUACAUGCAUGUCGAACGAUGAAGCUCUAGCUUGCUAGAGUGGAUUAGUGGCGCACGGGUGAGUAAUGCAUAGAUAACAUGCCCUUUAGUCUAGGAUAGCCAUUGGAAACGAUGAUUAAUACUGGAUACUCCUUACGAGGGAAAGUUUUUCGCUAAAGGAUUGGUCUAUGUCCUAUCAGCUUGUUGGUGAGGUAAUGGCUCACCAAGGCUAUGACGGGUAUCCGGCCUGAGAGGGUGAACGGACACACUGGAACUGAGACACGGUCCAGACUCCUACGGGAGGCAGCAGUAGGGAAUAUUGCUCAAUGGGGGAAACCCUGAAGCAGCAACGCCGCGUGGAGGAUGAAGGUUUUCGGAUUGUAAACUCCUUUUGUUAGAGAAGAUAAUGACGGUAUCUAACGAAUAAGCACCGGCUAACUCCGUGCCAGCAGCCGCGGUAAUACGGAGGGUGCAAGCGUUACUCGGAAUCACUGGGCGUAAAGAGCGCGUAGGCGGGAUAGCAAGUCAGAUGUGAAAUCCUAUGGCUUAACCAUAGAACUGCAUUUGAAACUGUUAUUCUAGAGUAUGGGAGAGGUAGGUGGAAUUCUUGGUGUAGGGGUAAAAUCCGUAGAGAUCAAGAGGAAUACUCAUUGCGAAGGCGACCUGCUAGAACAUAACUGACGCUGAUGCGCGAAAGCGUGGGGAGCAAACAGGAUUAGAUACCCUGGUAGUCCACGCCCUAAACGAUGAAUGCUAGUUGUUGUGGAGCUUGUCUCUGCAGUAAUGCAGCUAACGCAUUAAGCAUUCCGCCUGGGGAGUACGGUCGCAAGAUUAAAACUCAAAGGAAUAGACGGGGACCCGCACAAGCGGUGGAGCAUGUGGUUUAAUUCGAAGAUACACGAAGAACCUUACCUAGGCUUGACAUUGAUAGAAUCCGCUAGAGAUAGUGGAGUGCUAGCUUGCUAGAACUUGAAAACAGGUGCUGCACGGCUGUCGUCAGCUCGUGUCGUGAGAUGUUGGGUUAAGUCCCGCAACGAGCGCAACCCUCGUCCUUAGUUGCUAACUAUUCGGUAGAGCACUCUAAGGAGACUGCCUUCGCAAGGAGGAGGAAGGUGAGGAUGACGUCAAGUCAUCAUGGCCCUUACGCCUAGGGCUUCACACGUGCUACAAUGGGAAGCACAAAGAGAUGCAAUAUUGUGAAAUGGAGCAAAUCUAUAAAACUUCUCUCAGUUCGGAUUGUAGUCUGCAACUCGACUACAUGAAGCUGGAAUCGCUAGUAAUCGUAAAUCAGCUAUGUUACGGUGAAUACGUUCCCGGGUCUUGUACUCACCGCCCGUCACACCAUGGGAGUUGUAUUCGCCUUAAGUCGGAAUGCCAAACUGGCUACCGCCCACGGCGGAUGCAGCGACUGGGGUGAAGUCGUAACAAGGUACCC
This 1456-nucleotide ribosomal RNA is filed under the name uncultured bacterium. RNAcentral's name for it is "partial 16S ribosomal RNA". It matches the Rfam family "Bacterial small subunit ribosomal RNA". The record is from RNAcentral.